This 449-nucleotide ribosomal RNA is filed under the name uncultured bacterium. Its description in RNAcentral is "bacterial SSU rRNA". It matches the Rfam family "Bacterial small subunit ribosomal RNA", at positions 331 to 794 of the family's 1533-position model. The record is from RNAcentral.
CCAGACUCCUACGGGAGGCAGCAGUGGGGGAUAUUGGACAAUGGGGGAAACCCUGAUCCAGCGACGCCGCGUGAGUGAAGAAGUAUUUCGGUAUGUAAAGCUCUGUCAGCAGGGAAGAAAGAAAUGACGGUACCUGACCAAGAAGCCCCGGCUAACUACGUGCCAGCAGCCGCGGUAAUACGUAGGGGGCAAGCGUUAUCCGGAAUUACUGGGUGUAAAGGGAGCGUAGACGGCCAGACAAGUCUGAAGUGAAAAACCAGCGCUUAACGUUGGAAGUGCUUUGGAAACUGCCGGGCUAGAGUGCAGGAGGGGCAGGCGGAAUUCCUAGUGUAGCGGUGAAAUGCGUAGAUAUUAGGAGGAGCACCAGUGGCGAAGGCGGCCUGCUGGACUGCAACUGACGUUGAGGCUCGAAGGCGUGGGGAGCAAACAGGAUUAGAUACCCGUGUAAU